CCCUUAGAUGUUCUGGGCCGCACGCGUGCUACACUGAGUGGAUCAGCGGGUCAGGUUGCGCGAAAGUGUUUCCUAAUCUUUAAAUCCGCUCGUGAUGGGGAUUGACGGUUGCAAUUUUCCGUCAUGAACGAGGAAUACCUUGUAAGCGCGGGUCAUCAUCCCGCGCUGAAUACGUCCCUGCCCUUUGUACACACCGCCCGUCGCUCCUACCGAUUGAGUGGUCCGGUGAGGCUUUGGGAUCUGAGCGGAAAGAGCGUUUCGCUGUUUCUGCCCGGAAAACUCAGUCGAACCUUAUCGUUUAGAGGAAGGAGAAGCCGUAACA
Molecule: ribosomal RNA, 322 nt
Filed under: uncultured eukaryote
Lineage: Eukaryota
Description: partial 18S ribosomal RNA
Rfam family: Eukaryotic small subunit ribosomal RNA
Source: RNAcentral